Molecule: long non-coding RNA, 330 nt
Filed under: Pan troglodytes (chimpanzee)
Lineage: Eukaryota; Metazoa; Chordata; Mammalia; Primates; Hominidae
Description: lincRNA
Source: RNAcentral
UGCCGACCGGGAAGGGAAAGGCAAUCUUGGGGGCCUCCGGAGUCCGGAGGGUCACUCUGAUGGGUGAUGUCUCCUGGCCUCAGUGAUGGAAUUAAGAUGACUUCUAUCUCUGAAUCCAAGGGUGACUGAAAGCCACAAGCUGCAGAAAGGACAAGAGGCAUCACCUAUGUGGAUAAAGACAGCAUCCUGAGUUGAUGGAGAAAUGGCAUAGAAGGAACCAGGUCCUUUGAUGACAUCAUGGAGCAAAGCUGUCUUCUUGCCUUGACCUGCUACCUACCUACAUGGGAAGCUGUUACUUGAGAAGGCAAUAAAAUCUAUCUUCUUUAUUGA